RNAcentral lists this long non-coding RNA (496 nucleotides) under Numida meleagris (helmeted guineafowl). RNAcentral describes it as "lncRNA (ENSNMEG00000010793.1)". The record is from RNAcentral. Lineage: Eukaryota; Metazoa; Chordata; Aves; Galliformes; Numididae.
UGAUAAUCUCACAGUUUUUUGAGUGACUUCUAAUUCAUGCAGUACUUAAAUCAGCUUUGACUAGAUGUUUUAAGAUAAUACAGGAUAAAGGAGAAAAUCAAAUAUGGAAUGACAGCUUAAAAAAAGCAGUCCUGUUAAAUGCAGGUACACCAAAAUGGGCAGCACUUUUUCAUAUUGCAAUUACUCUUUGCUGUGCACUGGAGUCUCCAUUCAGUAAACCCUUGUUGAAGAAUUGUGGAAGGUUUGACAGAUGAGUUGCUAAGAUAUGUAUUCGGGAGAAAGCAAGAAAAUUCAACGAGAAGUUCUGGGAGUCAACAGUACUUUUGAAGGGACAGCCAGAGAAGAUGCCUCUCUUUGUCAAGGCCAUGAAGAGACCAGCAGAUUUGUUUCAAGCAUGCAUCUGCCUGGGGAGACAUGUUGCAACUCUGAAAGGUUUGUUUCCUUUGGAGAUUUUGGAGAUUCAAGCUUUGUGAAGGACCAGUGUGGUAGCAGGUAG